UACGUAGGGUGCAAGCGUUGUCCGGAAUUAUUGGGCGUAAAGAGCUCGUAGGCGGUUUGUCGCGUCGAAUGUGAAAACCCGGGGCUCAACCCCGGGCCUGCAUUCGAUACGGGCAGACUAGAGUUCGGUAGGGGAGUCUGGAAUUCCUGGUGUAGCGGUGAAAUGCGCAGAUAUCUGGAGGAACACCGGUGGCGAAGGCGGCAUCCUGGACCAACACGGACGCUGAGGAGCGAAAGCCAGGGGAGCAAACGGG
Molecule: ribosomal RNA, 253 nt
Filed under: uncultured bacterium
Lineage: Bacteria
Description: partial 16S ribosomal RNA
Rfam family: Bacterial small subunit ribosomal RNA
Source: RNAcentral